This 458-nucleotide ribosomal RNA is filed under the name uncultured bacterium. RNAcentral's name for it is "bacterial SSU rRNA". It matches the Rfam family "Bacterial small subunit ribosomal RNA", at positions 29 to 524 of the family's 1533-position model. The record is from RNAcentral.
AACGAACGCUGGCGGCAUGCCUAACACAUGCAAGUCGAACGGGAUCCUAGCUUGCUAGGUGAGAGUGGCGGACGGGUGAGUAACACGUGGGAAUCUGCCUUUUGGUUCGGGAUAACCGCGGGAAACUGCGGCUAAUACCGAAUGCCCUCGAGAGAGGAAAGAUUUAUCGCCAGAAGAGGAGCCCGCGUCCGAUUAGGUAGUUGGUGGGGUAAAGGCCUACCAAGCCGACGAUCGGUAGCUGGUCUGAGAGGAUGAUCAGCCACACUGGGACUGAGAUACGGCCCAGACUCCUACGGGAGGCAGCAGUGGGGAAUAUUGGACAAUGGGGGCAACCCUGAUCCAGCAAUGCCGCGUGAGUGAUGAAGGCCUUAGGGUUGUAAAGCUCUUUUGCCAGGGAAGAUGAUGACUGUACCUGGAGAAUAAGCCCCGGCUAACUACGUGCCAGCAGCCGCGGUAAU